UUCCGUGAUCCCGACGAUCCCGCACUGCAGCCAGCGACCAUUCCGAGCGAGUAGAAGACCAACUCCUCCGCGAUCACCGUGCGUAUCAACCAGCAAAGCCAGCAACGUCUCCAGCCAGCCGGGCGUCUUCCGCAUCAGGCAUCCGCCUGCAUCCCCGCCUCCUCACAGCUGCCGUUCUUAGCGAGCAAAAUCCGAGAUCCACGCCCUCGUCCCAGCUCCUUCCGGAUCGGCGUCCGUCUCUAGCUCCUUCCCCUUCUCCGUGAUCCAGGCAUUCCGCAUCAGCCUCCCAGCGAUCCCGCGGCACCCCUCAUCCGGAGCCAUCCCCUUCCGUUUCUAGCCAUCAAGGAGCACGAGAUCCGGCCAUUCUCCUAUGGAUUGACGCCUUUCGCCCCAUCCAUCCGCGAUUUUCCCUCCAGCAUCACGCCCCGGAAUCAGCCGGCCGUGAUCUCUUCUCCCUUCCCGAACGAGCACUCCGGACAGCUAUAAAAGGAGGGGGCUGAGGCGUUC
Molecule: long non-coding RNA, 507 nt
Filed under: Phoenix dactylifera (date palm)
Lineage: Eukaryota; Viridiplantae; Streptophyta; Magnoliopsida; Arecales; Arecaceae
Description: long non-coding RNA (PDAC_LNC022158)
Source: RNAcentral